Molecule: ribosomal RNA, 647 nt
Filed under: Micrococcus sp. YIM 78130
Lineage: Bacteria; Bacillati; Actinomycetota; Actinomycetes; Micrococcales; Micrococcaceae
Description: bacterial SSU rRNA
Rfam family: Bacterial small subunit ribosomal RNA
Source: RNAcentral
UUGACUCUGGGAUAAGCCUGGGAAACUGGGUCUAAUACCGGAUAGGAACGUCCACCGCAUGGUGGUUGUUGGAAAGAUUUAUCGGUCAUGGAUGGACUCGCGGCCUAUCAGCUUGUUGGUGAGGUAAUGGCUCACCAAGGCGACGACGGGUAGCCGGCCUGAGAGGGUGACCGGCCACACUGGGACUGAGACACGGCCCAGACUCCUACGGGAGGCAGCAGUGGGGAAUAUUGCACAAUGGGCGAAAGCCUGAUGCAGCGACGCCGCGUGAGGGAUGACGGCCUUCGGGUUGUAAACCUCUUUCAGUAGGGAAGAAGCGAAAGUGACGGUACCUGCAGAAGAAGCACCGGCUAACUACGUGCCAGCAGCCGCGGUAAUACGUAGGGUGCGAGCGUUAUCCGGAAUUAUUGGGCGUAAAGAGCUCGUAGGCGGUUUGUUGCGUCUGUCGUGAAAGUCCGGGGCUUAACCCCGGAUCUGCGGUGGGUACGGGCAGACUAGAGUGCAGUAGGGGAGACUGGAAUUCCUGGUGUAGCGGUGGAAUGCGCAGAUAUCAGGAGGAACACCGAUGGCGAAGGCAGGUCUCUGGGCUGUAACUGACGCUGAGGAGCGAAAGCAUGGGGAGCGAACAGGAUUAGAUACCCUGGUAG